GGUCCCCCUUGCACCGAACCCAUCCUCACAUGCGCCAUCUCCUUCACUGACGCCGCCUUGCAUCUCUCCGCUGAACCCGAGCUCUUCACCUUCCCCAACCUGACGGUGCUUCCUCUUCUCCCUCACGAUAAAACCUGUCGGCCAAGGAGAAGUCGGGCAUUGCUAUUCCCGAUUCCCUUCUCUCCCGAUUCGUCUCCAUCUUCCUUGCGUCUUCCUCGCCACCGACAGCCACAGCUCGAGCGAGAGUGCCCUAGGUGUCACCCACUCCCAUCGCAUCGCUUCCCUGCUGCACGGAGUAGCGCCGACGCCCCUACAGCCGACUCCUCUCUUCUUAUCAACUCCGCUCAUGCCUUUCCUCUUACGCCAACACUGCUGUUUUGGUCGCUCUUCUCUCGCGUGAUUUUCCUGGUGUUGCCACAACUGUUCGCUUGAGGAACAAAUUGGAGCAGUGGUUGAAGGCUCAUCAGUGGCAAAACCCUAUCCGACGAUCCACCAUCAAUCUCUCACGGCUUCCCCGGUCUGUCCCUCACCGAGAGAUCUGUCCCGGGGCACCGAAGAUCCUGGGCAUUGGGUACUGUCAUCAUUGUCACAAGCGUUGAGCCUCUAAGGAGCACUGAUAACUGGGGUAUCCAAAUACUAGCUGCCACAUUUGAGAGGGCAGUAGCUUCAUCGUUGCUCCGACUAAGGUUUCCAGCAGCAACUUCUCUAGCUAUGCUACAAAAAAAGGCGGAAUCCGCCGCCCCGACGGCCCCCUACGCCUGCCCCAUGGUGAUGUAGGAGGAGGGUUAAUCAGGGUGAAUGCUGGGCUGACAAGUGGCUGGGGGUUCGAGGCUUUAAGCCAGCAGACGGGGAUAUUAUCCCGCAUUGCAACCGGCGACACUCGAAUGUGAAGAGCUCAAUUUUGUUGAAUUGGGGUAGGAGAAUAGGUAUACUCUGACAGUAUCCUGUCCACUCAGUCAUUCAGGAGUAGUGAUGGCAGAGUGCACAGUUGUCACAACCCUACCCACUCGACCUCACCAUCGUAUGUGAGGUGGCUGACUCGCAUCAAAGGAAAAAUAUGUUGAGUUAGAGGCAGCACAGAGAUGUUCAGCUUCUUCUAGUGCUGAUAUUGAGGGGUCUGAGCUGUUUGUAGGUACUGAUUUUUAUUUAUGGCUACAUGCGAGUGGAGGGCCAGAAAGGGGAGGAAAGAUAUUCGGAAUGAGUUCUUUGGGCAGAACCCAUAGAGUUGGCCAUAUAACUUCUUCCUCCUCACAUACUCAGCAGAUACAUAUAACUUGACUGAAGAGAUUUCCCAGUUGAAGGGAAUUAUAAAGGAAAGGGAUUAAGAAAUGAGCGAAAUACGCUGACAACAAGACUUUAUUAUGCAGCAUCUUCAGUUAAUUUCUGUUCCAAGUCAAAUUCCUCCUCGUGACAAUGAUGAUGAUGAUGAUAUUGAUGAGAUGAUAAUGGCGGUGGUGGUGAUUCUUCGUAAAUUUAUGCGUAGAAAAGAAGCAUGGAAGGCGACCGAAGCUCCUGAGACAUGACGAUUUGUAUUUUGUUUAGCUUUGGAUGCCUUGUUACAUUUGUUGUUUGGAUUAUGAUAGAACUUUCAUGUUUAGAUAUUAUGAUUUGUUGAACUUGUUGUUGUUUGAAUUUUAGUUAUUUGUAUAUAUGAAUAUGAUGUGUUUAGUUUAGGGAUGAUUUGUUUGGAUGUUGGAUAUGGAUGUGUUUAGUUUUGGGAUGAUUUGUUUGGAUGUUGGAUAUGGAUAUGUUGUAUAUGAUUUUGUUGAAGAUGUUAUAAGUGGCAUAUUUAA
Zingiber officinale is the source of this 1793-nucleotide long non-coding RNA. RefSeq lists it as uncharacterized. The record is from RefSeq and is a predicted model, not a curated record. The transcript is spliced from 4 exons. NCBI's taxonomy places the organism in Eukaryota, Viridiplantae, Streptophyta, Magnoliopsida, Zingiberales, Zingiberaceae.